Molecule: long non-coding RNA, 1786 nt
Filed under: Setaria italica (foxtail millet)
Lineage: Eukaryota; Viridiplantae; Streptophyta; Magnoliopsida; Poales; Poaceae
Description: long non-coding RNA (SITA_LNC003421)
Source: RNAcentral
AAACUGCUGCAGAUAAUUACAUCAUGUUAUAACCCAAUUUGAUUCAGGUCAAGAUGAAAGGGUGUAUAACAGCUACAAAGAAAAGUGUGACUCUAGGAAACAAGCAAAAGGUAAUGUAUGGUGAUGGAAAAUGUAUACCGAAGAAAUGGUGUGAGGAUAAGAAAGCACUGAUGUAGCAGAUAAAUACGGAGCACAGAUAAGUACAAUUGCCACAUACUAGAAGAGAUAAGAAUGAAGGUUGAUUUUGCCGACCUCCCCUCCAUUCUGAUAUUUGUUAAACUAUGUCUUCUUGUGUUACAUUGAUAGUCGGAGUUCCGUAUAUCUUGGACAUGCACCUGUGCCCAGACCUUUAUUUCAGUGAAUCUAUAUCAUUUGCAAACAUACUUGGGAUUAGUUCCUCAAUAGUACCUAUCUCCAUGACUCCAUCCAGGCACUACAUAUUGUGCUACUGGAAUUUAUGAAGUUCAGUUCUCUUCUUGCUCAUCUGUAGCCUUUGAUGGUAAUAUUCUUUUUUUUUUUUGCAAAUCUGUAUGAUAUGGGAAUCAUUAUACUAAGAGAUUUGAUGGGGCACAUUAUGUUUUAGAUUUUGUUUUCUACAAUUGGAUCUAGGAAAACAUUUGGUUUCCCUCCUGAUUUUACUUCUGUGGUGAUAGCACUAGAGCAGUAGGGAUACUUUGGUUACCAACUGAAACUAUAUAGAUGAUUAGAUUUGGCAACUUAUUUGCAGUCUGAAGAUGUAAUACAUGUCACCUUCAGUAUUUUCAGCUUUCAUACCUCUGGUAGAAUUAAAAUUGGAUUCAGACGUGUGCUUCCAACAGUAGAGCAAUAGGGAUAUUUUUCUUAACAAAUGGAACACUAGCUUUGCCAAUUAGUUUGUAGCCCAAAGAUGCAAAGUGCUGAUACAUUUACUUUUAGUAUCACCUUUCAUACCUACAGUAGAAUUGGGUUACAGACGUGUAUUUCCAUAUUGCUCUGACUUAUAUAAUUUUUAGAGGACACAUGAUGGACAUAUGCCUGCCCUGCGCCUCAACACAUGCAGAUUGUUCCAUGCCAUUCAUGGUUUUGAAAUAGCUGCCUCUUCAUAUAUCAAAACUUGUGAACAUAUAUACUAUGUAAUUGAAAAUACUUGCUUUGUGUGUGUGCAUGCGUGUGUUCCUGCAUAUAGAUACAGAAAUAUGAUUGCCCAGGCUUCUCUUCGUAAAAGUAGCUUUUGAUCGUUUGGCUGGAAAAAGGUAUCUGCCUAAUGGCAUGUGGCUGCUAAGUUAUGUCUUACGUGUUUUCUACUGAAGCCAUUUUUAUGCAAUUGGUAAUGGCAAAGCAGGCAUGAUUGCCCACAUACUUGAACAACAAUGUCAUUGCAUUGCCUAUUGGAUUUAAACAAAAUGAAAACAGUAGUAGCAGACAAACAUGGUACUGUGCAGACAUUUCUGAUAAAACAGCUUGCAUUUUUACUGUAUUACAUACAUUAUGAAAGAACGAAAUGCAAAUGUAUGACAGGUUUUGGUUUACCAAAACUAACCUUCAGUAUCUUCUCUUUUGUAUUUACUGAAUUGUUCUUUCAUGCAGAGGCCUUUGGGGUCUUCACAGGAUGUUCUCGUAUCAACGUCAACCAGAAUACCAGGGCACACACCAGAGCACUGUGUAAUGUCUACUUUUUUUUCCAGAGGAAAUGUAACUGACUAGAAGGUAUAAAAAAAUUAUUCCUUUGUAAUUAUUUAUUUUCAAUUUCUCAUUUUGUAAGAUUGUUUGCCAAACCAAUACAAUGCAAAGACAGCCGUAGUUGUCU